This 468-nucleotide ribosomal RNA is filed under the name uncultured bacterium. RNAcentral's name for it is "partial 16S ribosomal RNA". It matches the Rfam family "Bacterial small subunit ribosomal RNA", at positions 28 to 507 of the family's 1533-position model. The record is from RNAcentral.
GACGAACGCUGGCGGCGUGCUUAACACAUGCAAGUCGAACGGCAAGGCCCUGCUUUUGUGGGGUGCUCGAGUGGCGAACGGGUGAGUAACACGUGAGUAACCUGCCCUUGACUUUGGGAUAACUUCAGGAAACUGGGGCUAAUCCCAGAUAGGAUCUGCUGCUGCAUGGUGGGGGUUGGAACGUUUCGGCGGUUGGGGCUGGACUCGCGGCUUAUGAGCUUGUUGGUUGGGUAGUUGUUUACCAAGGCUUUGACGGGUCGCCGGCCUGGGAGGGUGACCGGGGUCAUGGGGACUGAGAGAGGGCGCAGAGUCCAACGUGAGGCAGCAGUGGGGAGUAUGGCACAAUGGGCGGAAGCCUGAGACAGCAGCGCCGCGUGCGGGAUGACGGUCUGCGGGGUGUAAACCGCCGUAGCCUGUGACGAAGCGGGAGUGACGGUAAUGGGUAAAGAAGCACCGGCUAACUACGUG